GGAAAGGAGUCGGGGAAGGUGUUGUUGAGAUCUCCAAGACCCAGGCAGAGCUCUUUCUGGCAAAGGGUGCAUGUGGCUGUGAGCGUGGAACUCGUGCUUUCAGGGCCGAAGACUGCGCCCUGCUUCAGCCCCUUGGCACUCCUUUGCCUUCUGGACACCAGGACUAAAGCAUUGCAGGAAAGGCCCCUGGGCAGUAAGCCACAAGAGAAAUGGGGACAUUCUAUAAAGACCAUGGCUUUCAAAGCAGAAUCAGGACUCUAGCUGAGGGUGGCACCAUAUAUUCGGCAGCGCUCCCCAGGUGGCAUCUGGACCCUGGCCCUUACAAAGGCUGUGGCUGCCCUGCUGCUAAGGUGCCCGUGGGGCACUGCGGUGGCCCGUGGCUCCUGUGUGGACAGAGACGACAGCUCAGUGAGCCUGCCCAGAGCCCUGCCCUGCAUUCACCCCGAGAAACACUGGAUGGGCAGAAGAGCCCAGGGAGGCUCCAGGCCCUGCUCUGCACAUCCUGCACCUCCUCCUGCAGAAGGCGAGUCUCCAGGGCCUUGCUCUUGGAGUGGCAACACCCCGCCCUCAGGACCUCCUCCUGUUCCAGGGGUCGGAUAGUGUCCCUCAAACCUCUCUCCAAAGCCUCUGGUGCUGGCCUCAGGUUUGGAAUUCAGCACGCUUUUGUCAUUACUCUCAGGUUGUAAACUUCAGAGGACAAGGACUGUGUUGCUAGCAUCCCGGUAUCCUAAGGAUCCAGGAUAUAAUAGAUCUUCAGUCUAUGUUGAAUGAAUGAAUGAAUGAAUGAAUGAAUGAA
Molecule: long non-coding RNA, 796 nt
Organism: Octodon degus (degu)
Lineage: Eukaryota; Metazoa; Chordata; Mammalia; Rodentia; Octodontidae
Exons: 3
Source: RefSeq, a predicted model, not a curated record